Molecule: ribosomal RNA, 452 nt
Filed under: uncultured bacterium
Lineage: Bacteria
Description: bacterial SSU rRNA
Rfam family: Bacterial small subunit ribosomal RNA
Source: RNAcentral
AGCGAACGCUGGCGGCAGGCUUAACACAUGCAAGUCGAGCGGGCGUAGCAAUACGUCAGCGGCAGACGGGUGAGUAACGCGUGGGAACGUACCUUUUGGUUCGGAACAACACAGGGAAACUUGUGCUAAUACCGGAUAAGCCCUUACGGGGAAAGAUUUAUCGCCGAAAGAUCGGCCCGCGUCUGAUUAGCUAGUUGGUGAGGUAACGGCUCACCAAGGCGACGAUCAGUAGCUGGUCNGAGAGGAUGAUCAGCCACAUUGGGACUGAGACACGGCCCAAACUCCUACGGGAGGCAGCAGUGGGGAAUAUUGGACAACGGGCGCAAGCCUGAUCCAGCCAUGCCGCGUGAGUGAUGAAGGUCUUCGGAUUGUAAAGCUCUUUUGCCAGGGACGAUAAUGACGGUACCUGGAGAAUAAGCCCCGGCUAACUUCGUGCCAGCAGCCGCGGUAAU